GAUGAACGCUGGCGGCGUGCCUAAUACAUGCAAGUCGAGCGAACGGACGAGAAGCUUGCUUUUCUGAUGUUAGCGGCGGACGGGUGAGUAACACGUGGAUAACCUACCUAUAAGACUGGGAUAACUUCGGGAAACCGGGGCUAAUACCGGAUAAUAUUUUGAACCGCAUGGUUCAAAAGUGAAAGACGGUCUUGCUGUCACUUAUAGAUGGAUCCGCGCUGCAUUAGCUAGUUGGUAAGGUAACGGCUUACCAAGGCAACGAUGCAUAGCCGACCUGAGAGGGUGAUCGGCCACACUGGAACUGAGACACGGUCCAGACUCCUACGGGAGGCAGCAGUAGGGAAUCUUCCGCAAAGGGCGAAAGCCUGACGGAGCAACGCCGCGUGAGUGAUGAAGGUCUUCGGAUCGUAAAACUCUGUUAUUAGGGAAGAACAUAUGUGUAAGUAACUGUGCACAUCUUGACGGUACCUAAUCAGAAAGCCACGGCUAACUACGUG
RNAcentral lists this ribosomal RNA (497 nucleotides) under uncultured bacterium. Its description in RNAcentral is "partial 16S ribosomal RNA". It matches the Rfam family "Bacterial small subunit ribosomal RNA", at positions 28 to 507 of the family's 1533-position model. The record is from RNAcentral.